Non-coding RNA from Ataeniobius toweri, 72 nucleotides. The record is from the annotation of a GenBank genome assembly. Lineage: Eukaryota; Metazoa; Chordata; Actinopteri; Cyprinodontiformes; Goodeidae.
GGGGGUAUAUCUCAGUGGUAAAGCAUUUGACUGCACCUCAAGAGGUCCCCAGUUCAAAUCUCUUUGUCCCUU